ACUCAAAUGAAUAGACGGGGGAGCGCACAACCAGUGGAGCAUGUGGUUUAAUUCGAUACGAAGCGUAGAACCUCACCUGGGCUUGACAUGAUACUGCUACUCCUAGGAAACUAGGAUUCUUUCGAAGGUGUAUCACAGGUGGUGCAUGGCUGUCGUCAGCUCGUGUCGUGAGACGUCUGCUUAAGUGCAGUAACGAGCGCAACCCUCGCCGUCUGUUGUAUUGUUCAGGCGGGACUGCCGUGCUGCAAGCACGGAGGAAGGAGAGGACGACGUCAAGUCAGCAUGUCCCUUACGUCCAGGGCCACACACAUCCUACAAUGGGAAGGACAACGGGUAGCGACGCCGCGAGGCUGAGCAAAUCCUUCAAACCUUCCCUCAGUUCGGAUUGCAGGCUGAAAUUCGCCUGCAUGAAGCCGGAAUUGGUAGUAAUCGCGGGUCAGCAGACCGCGGUGAAUACGUUCUCGCUCCUUGUACACACCGCCCGU
This 485-nucleotide ribosomal RNA is filed under the name uncultured bacterium. RNAcentral's name for it is "partial 16S ribosomal RNA". It matches the Rfam family "Bacterial small subunit ribosomal RNA", at positions 899 to 1397 of the family's 1533-position model. The record is from RNAcentral.